AAGAAGGCCUUCGGGUUGUAAAGCACUUUUGUUCGGGAAGAAAUCGUUCUGGUUAAUACCUGGGGCGGAUGACGGUACCGGAAGAAUAAGCACCGGCUAACUACGUGC
Molecule: ribosomal RNA, 108 nt
Filed under: uncultured bacterium
Lineage: Bacteria
Description: partial 16S ribosomal RNA
Source: RNAcentral